This 76-nucleotide transfer RNA is filed under the name Bacteroidetes bacterium QS_1_63_11. RNAcentral describes it as "tRNA-Gly". It matches the Rfam family "tRNA". From Rfam's summary of the family: Transfer RNA (tRNA) molecules are approximately 80 nucleotides in length. Their secondary structure includes four short double-helical elements and three loops (D, anti-codon, and T loops). Lineage: Bacteria; Pseudomonadati; Bacteroidota. The record is from RNAcentral.
GCGGGUGUAGCUCAGCGGCUAGAGCAUCUGCUUGCCAUGCAGAAGGUCGUGGGUUCGAAUCCCAUCACCCGCUCCG